GUGGGGAAUCUUAGACAAUGGGGAAAACCCUGAUCUAGCCAUGCCGCGUGAGCGAUGAAGGCCUUAGGGUUGUAAAGCUCUUUCAGCUGGGAAGAUAAUGACGGUACCAGCAGAAGAAGCCCCGGCUAACUCCGUGCCAGCAGCCGCGGUAAUACGGAGGGGGCUAGCGUUGUUCGGAAUUACUGGGCGUAAAGCGCGCGUAGGCGGACCAGAAAGUUGGAGGUGAAAUCCCAGGGCUCAACCUUGGAACUGCCUUCAAAACUCCUGGUCUGGAGUUCGAGAGAGGUGAGUGGAAUUCCGAGUGUAGAGGUGAAAUUCGUAGAUAUUCGGAGGAACACCAGUGGCGAAGGCGGCUCACUGGCUCGAUACUGACGCUGAGGUGCGAAAGCGUGGGGAGCAAACAGGAUUAGAAACCCGAGUAGUCC
Molecule: ribosomal RNA, 425 nt
Filed under: uncultured bacterium
Lineage: Bacteria
Description: partial 16S ribosomal RNA
Rfam family: Bacterial small subunit ribosomal RNA
Source: RNAcentral